This 74-nucleotide transfer RNA is filed under the name Pteropus alecto (black flying fox). It matches the Rfam family "tRNA". From Rfam's summary of the family: Transfer RNA (tRNA) molecules are approximately 80 nucleotides in length. Their secondary structure includes four short double-helical elements and three loops (D, anti-codon, and T loops). The record is from Rfam by way of RNAcentral. Lineage: Eukaryota; Metazoa; Chordata; Mammalia; Chiroptera; Pteropodidae.
GGCUCCAUAUUGUAAUGAUUAGCACGUCUGCUUUACAUGCAGAAGGUCCUGGGUUUGCAUCCCAGGUGGAGCCA